ACUAAAACUAUUCUAAACUACAUUUAAGGAGACAGGAUGGAGUUAUGUUCACAUUAGAAAAAAAGAUGAUUUUGAUAAAAACAAUUGCUCUUUAAACUACCUCACAUUGUUUGGUUGUUUUUUUGAGAUAAUAGACAUUGAAACUAGUAUAGAACAUUUCCAUCUUAAUCCACCUGUGAUAUAGAUUGUAUAGCUUAGGGAUAAUUUAAGAUAGUAAUAAUAACUGCGGCAGAUAAUCGUAUUUUUGCUAUUAACAGGGCAUUGAGCAAGUGCAGCAAAGUAGAGGGCUGCAAGAAAUAGAAGAGUCACUCAGGAGUCAUGGAGUGCUGUUGGAAGUUCAAUACUCUUCUUCAAUACAUGACCGAGAAAUUAGGUUCAACAAUGGAUGGAUGAUUAAGAUUGGAAGGGGACUUGAUUAUUUUAAGAAACCACAGGUAUGAUAUAAUCUUAUGAAUAAUGUGUAGCACUGUUUUUGUAUCAUUUUUAAUGAUACUCUUUUCUUCUCUUCUUAGAGUCGUUUUUCCCUUGGAUAUUGUGAUUUUGAUUUAAGACCAUGUCAUGAAACAACAGUGGACAUUUUUCAUAAGAAGCAUACAAAAAAUAUAUGAUGGGUGGUAGCCUAAUUUGUAUUAUGUCUACUUUAAGUGAAUAUUGGAUUUUUUUAAAAGAUCACUUUUAUAAUGUAUGAAUUUAACAAUAAACUUUUAUAUUUCUAC
Molecule: small RNA, 716 nt
Filed under: Pan troglodytes (chimpanzee)
Lineage: Eukaryota; Metazoa; Chordata; Mammalia; Primates; Hominidae
Description: retained intron
Source: RNAcentral